AUUGAACGCUGGCGGCAGGCUUAACACAUGCAAGUCGAGCGGGGGAAGGUAGCUUGCUACCGGACCUAGCGGCGGACGGGUGAGUAAUGCUUAGGAAUCUGCCUAUUAGUGGGGGACAACAUCUCGAAAGGGAUGCUAAUACCGCAUACGUCCUACGGGAGAAAGCAGGGGAUCUUCGGACCUUGCGCUAAUAGAUGAGCCUAAGUCGGAUUAGCUAGUUGGUGGGGUAAAGGCCUACCAAGGCGACGAUCUGUAGCGGGUCUGAGAGGAUGAUCCGCCACACUGGGACUGAGACACGGCCCAGACUCCUACGGGAGGCAGCAGUGGGGAAUAUUGGACAAUGGGGGGAACCCUGAUCCAGCCAUGCCGCGUGUGUGAAGAAGGCCUUAUGGUUGUAAAGCACUUUAAGCGAGGAGGAGGCUACUCUAGUUAAUACCUAGGGAUAGUGGACGUUACUCGCAGAAUAAGCACCGGCUAAAGCUGUGCCAGCAGCCGCAGUAA
RNAcentral lists this ribosomal RNA (501 nucleotides) under uncultured bacterium. RNAcentral's name for it is "partial 16S ribosomal RNA". It matches the Rfam family "Bacterial small subunit ribosomal RNA", at positions 30 to 523 of the family's 1533-position model. The record is from RNAcentral.